AAUAAGUGUAGUUUUGUAUUAUUUAUGUUCAGGUUUGAUUGUUCGUCUUAUUUAAAAAAAAUUUAUGAUUAGUAUUUUUAUUGCUAUUACAUGAUAAAACAUGAAUAGUACUUUAUGUGUGACUAAAUAUUUUUAAAUUUUUCAUAAAAUUUUUAAAUAAGACGGACGGUCAAACGUUGGGCACGGAUAUCCACGGCUGCACUUAUU
This is a microRNA precursor of Oryza rufipogon (brownbeard rice), 207 nucleotides long. It matches the Rfam family "MIR812 microRNA precursor family". NCBI's taxonomy places the organism in Eukaryota, Viridiplantae, Streptophyta, Magnoliopsida, Poales, Poaceae. The record is from Rfam.